UGGGGAAUAUUGGACAAUGGGCGCAAGCCUGAUCCAGCCAUGCCGCGUGGAUGAUGAAGGCCCUAGGGUUGUAAAGUCCUUUUAACGGGGAAGAUAAUGACGGUACCCGUAGAAUAAGCCCCGGCUAACUUCGUGCCAGCAGCCGCGGUAAUACGAAGGGGGCUAGCGUUGCUCGGAAUUACUGGGCGUAAAGCGCACGUAGGCGGACCGAUAAGUCGGGGGUGAAAUCCUGGAGCUCAACUCCAGAACUGCCUUCGAAACUGCCGGUCUUGAGUUCGGGAGAGGUGAGUGGAACUGCGAGUGUAGAGGUGAAAUUCGUAGAUAUUCGCAAGAACACCAGUGGCGAAGGCGGCUCACUGGCCCGAUACUGACGCUGAGGUGCGAAAGCGUGGGGAGCAAA
This 400-nucleotide ribosomal RNA is filed under the name uncultured bacterium. Its description in RNAcentral is "bacterial SSU rRNA". It matches the Rfam family "Bacterial small subunit ribosomal RNA", at positions 355 to 772 of the family's 1533-position model. The record is from RNAcentral.